This 773-nucleotide long non-coding RNA is filed under the name Helianthus annuus (common sunflower). Its description in RNAcentral is "hypothetical non coding rna". Lineage: Eukaryota; Viridiplantae; Streptophyta; Magnoliopsida; Asterales; Asteraceae. The record is from RNAcentral.
GUCUCCUCCGUCUUCUCCUGCGACAUAACCGUCUCCUCCGUUCCAGUGGAGGUGGUGGGUUUAAUGGUGUUUGUUGCUGGUUUGGGUUGUUGUAGGUUGGGGUUAGGGUUCUAGUGGGGGUGGUGAUGGUGGAGACGGUGGUGGGUGAAGGAGAGAGAGAGAGAAUCGAUGGUGGUGGGUGGGUUGUGUGGGUGGUUUUGGUGGAAGCAAAGAAGUCAUUUCCUCACACUUGAUGUAUACUCUUCACAUAAAGGUUGUCUUCCGGUCACUUUGACAUAAUAAUUUUGCCCUAUAAAUACUUCCAAAACUGCAUUCUCUAUGUACACUGACGACUCAAACUUUAAAAUCAGAGACGAUUGAUGGUGGGCUUGUAAAUAUUUGGGGGAGAAGUGAUGAGAGAGGGAAUAGAGAGAGAAGGGAGAGUUUUUUAUUUUUCAAUGUUUUACAUAUAGUCCCUAAGUAAUAAUUUAUUACAAAAUAACCCCUAGGAGGCAAAAUGACAAAACUGCCCUCAUGUGCAAGGCACAUGACCAACUUUAACAAAAAAAUCUAACUGAGUUUGGCUUAAAGGACAUAACGUGCAGGAUUUUGAAACGUUAAGGACAAAACUCGUCAAUUUUAAAGACAAAGGACAGCGCCUGAAAUUUGAGACAAACAUAAAGGACAAAACUUGUAAUUUACUCUAUUUUUUUAUCAUAACUAUGAUAGUGUUUUUCUUUAUUUGGUUAACUCGAUGCAUCUUUUUUUAUAUUGUGUUACAAGUAGCAUGUAUA